GGGGGGGUUGUGAAAGGUUUUGUGAAUGCAAAUGAAUUAAAUUAAAACAUAGAUCCAAACAAAAAUGUAAACAGAAAUGAAAACAAAAAUAUAAAAAUGGAAUGUGAAAAAACGAUUGGUCAUUAACUCAAUCACUAUGCUUCCAAUCACAGAUUAACGAGAAGUACACACUACUCUAAUUCAAAUCCAACACGAAUCAUCCAACUAAGCGAAAGAUAAUUCGGUCUUCAAAAUUGCAAACUAAGCGAAUGCAAUGCUUAAAUCCAAUCAGUCAUGCACCAUAUAGUCUAAUCA
This 294-nucleotide long non-coding RNA is filed under the name Vigna radiata. RNAcentral's name for it is "long non-coding RNA (VRAD_LNC016604)". Lineage: Eukaryota; Viridiplantae; Streptophyta; Magnoliopsida; Fabales; Fabaceae. The record is from RNAcentral.